AAGGGCACAGGACGUUUGCGCUUUUUUACCUGUAAAACGAUAGGACAUUUGCGCUUCAAAUACUAUGGACAUUUGCGCUUUUAAUUUUGAUUCACCUGUAUUAAAUUCACCAGACAUUUGCGCUUUUUACCUAUAGUCGACUACCUGUAAUCUUAAUGAGAAGUAAAUCAUUACAUAAAUAAAUUUAACUUAUAUUUGUCAUUAGUUAGUUCACAUUUACACAGUGAACAUAGAUUUUAAAGUUAUAGUGACUAGUAAAGAAAAAAAAUGAAUAUGUCUUGAUGGAUUUUUAUAUCGUUUCGACCAAACCCUAAAAAUUGGAGACCUUUUAAGGAGAUGUACCGUUGAAAAUGAGAAACUCGCUCAUUUAUUUGAGAUGUGGGAUAAGUACCAAUCAGGACAGUUAACAAGAGCAAAAUUUGUUCACUCAUUGGGCUUCAAAUAUCAAGCUAAAACUGACCUGUAAUUGUGAUGACAGUACUUGAUUUUAUUUCUGUACAUACACUUUAAACAUAUAUCAACAAUGUGCUAUGACAUAUGAAGGUGCUAUGAAUUUUAAACUUUUAACCAUAAAGAUGACUUUAACUCUGCCAGGUCAAACCUACCGGUCCCAAGCCCGGAUAAAAGAGGAGGCUGGGAAGUUAUAGAUAUAUAUAUAUAAAAAAAAGCGCAAAUGUCCUAUGUAAAAAGCGCAAAUGUCCAUUUUUAAAAAGCGCAAAUGUCCUAUGUUUUGAAGCGCAAGUGUCCACAAAAAAAAGCGCAAAUGUCCUAUGAAAAAGCGCAAACGUCCCGUGCCGGAUA
Molecule: long non-coding RNA, 801 nt
Filed under: Mytilus galloprovincialis (Mediterranean mussel)
Lineage: Eukaryota; Metazoa; Mollusca; Bivalvia; Mytilida; Mytilidae
Source: RNAcentral